RNAcentral lists this ribosomal RNA (468 nucleotides) under uncultured bacterium. Its description in RNAcentral is "partial 16S ribosomal RNA". It matches the Rfam family "Bacterial small subunit ribosomal RNA", at positions 28 to 507 of the family's 1533-position model. The record is from RNAcentral.
GACGAACGCUGGCGGCGUGCUUAACACAUGCAAGUCGAACGGAAAGGCCCUGCUUUUGUGGGGUGCUCGAGUGGCGAACGGGUGAGUAACACGUGAGUAACCUGCCCUUGACUUUGGGAUAACUUCAGGAAACUGGGGCUAAUACCGGAUAGGAGCUCCUGCUGCAUGGUGGGGGUUGGAAAGUUUCGGCGGUUGGGGAUGGACUCGCGGCUUAUCAGCUUGUUGGUGGGGUAGUUGCUUACCAAGGCUUUGACGGGUAGCCGGCCUGAGAGGGUGACCGGUCACAUUGGGCCUGAGGUACGGGCCAGGCGCCUACGGGCGGCAACAGGGGGGAAUAUUGCCCAAUGGGGGGGAGCCUGAUGCAGCAACGCCGGGUGCGGGAUGACGGCCUUCGGGUUGUAAACCGCUUUCGCCUGUGACGAAGCGUGCGUGACGGUAAUGGGUAAAGAAGCAACGGCUAACUACGUG